GAUUGAACGCUGGCGGCAUGCUUUACACAUGCAAGUCGAACGGCAGCACGGGCUUCGGCCUGGUGGCGAGUGGCGAACGGGUGAGUAAUACAUCGGAACGUACCCAGAAGUGGGGGAUAACGUAGCGAAAGUUACGCUAAUACCGCAUACGUUCUACGGAAGAAAGUGGGGGAUCUYMRGACCUCAUGCUUUUGGAGCGGCCGAUGUCUGAUUAGCUAGUUGGURRGGUAAAGGCYYACCAAGGCGACGAUCAGUAGCUGGUCUGAGAGGACGACCAGCCACACUGGAACUGAGACACGGUCCAGACUCCUACGGGAGGCAGCAGUGGGGAAUUUUGGACAAUGGGCGCAAGCCUGAUCCAGCAAUGCCGCGUGAGUGAAGAAGGCCUUCGGGUUGUAAAGCUCUUUUGUCAGGGAAGAAACGGUAGGRGCUAAUAUCYCUUGCUAAUGACGGUACCUGAAGAAUAAGCACCGGCUAACUAC
Molecule: ribosomal RNA, 482 nt
Filed under: Massilia sp. 'ARUP UnID 425'
Lineage: Bacteria; Pseudomonadati; Pseudomonadota; Betaproteobacteria; Burkholderiales; Oxalobacteraceae
Description: bacterial SSU rRNA
Rfam family: Bacterial small subunit ribosomal RNA
Source: RNAcentral